Molecule: ribosomal RNA, 253 nt
Filed under: uncultured bacterium
Lineage: Bacteria
Description: partial 16S ribosomal RNA
Rfam family: Bacterial small subunit ribosomal RNA
Source: RNAcentral
UACGGAGGGCGCAAGCGUUGUUCGGAAUCACUGGGCGUAAAGCGCGUGUAGGCGGCCUGGCAAGUCGGGUGUGAAAUCCCGAGGCUCAACCUCGGAACUGCACUCGAAACUGGUUGGCUCGAGUCCCGGAGAGGGUGGCGGAAUUCCCGGUGUAGGGGUGAAAUCCGUAGAUAUCGGGAGGAACACCAGUGGCGAAGGCGGCCACCUGGACGGUGACUGACGCUGAGACGAGAAAGCGUGGGGAGCAAACAGG